RNAcentral lists this ribosomal RNA (500 nucleotides) under uncultured bacterium. RNAcentral describes it as "partial 16S ribosomal RNA". It matches the Rfam family "Bacterial small subunit ribosomal RNA", at positions 30 to 523 of the family's 1533-position model. The record is from RNAcentral.
AUUGAACGCUGGCGGAAUGCUUUACACAUGCAAGUCGAACGGCAGCACGGACUUCGGUCUGGUGGCGAGUGGCGAACGGGUGAGUAAUGUAUCGGAACGUGCCCAGUCGUGGGGGAUAACGUAGUGAAAAUUACGCUAAUACCGCAUACGAUCUAUGGAUGAAAGCGGGGGAUCGCAAGACCUCGCGCGAUUGGAGCGUCCGAAAUCAGAUUAGGUAGUUGGUGGGGUAAAGGCCCACCAAGCCAACGAUCUGUAGCUGGUCUGAGAGGACGACCAGCCACACUGGAACUGAGACACGGUCCAGACUCCUACGGGAGGCAGCAGUGGGGAAUUUUGGACAAUGGGCGAAAGCCUGAUCCAGCCAUUCCGCGUGCAGGAUGAGGGCCCUCGGGUUGUAAACUGCUUUUGUACAGAACGAAAAGGUUUCUACUAAUACUAGGAGCUCAUGACGGUACUGUAAGAAUAAGCACCGGCUAACUACGUGCCAGCCGCCGCAGUAA